This is a long non-coding RNA of Bicyclus anynana (squinting bush brown), 1487 nucleotides long. RefSeq lists it as uncharacterized. The record is from RefSeq and is a predicted model, not a curated record. The transcript has 3 exons. NCBI's taxonomy places the organism in Eukaryota, Metazoa, Arthropoda, Insecta, Lepidoptera, Nymphalidae.
UAUGUCUCUUAAAAUUCAAGUAAGGCCAUUGAAUUGGUUUAAUAUCUUUUAAGAAUGUGUUUUGAAGAUAAAAAUAUUUUAUUUAAUCCUCUGGCUCAAACAAACAAGCAAACAAGUAGGUACACAAACAAACAAAAGACCAAACAAGCACACGAAAACAAACAAAUGUGCAAACAAACACACAAACAGACAAGAACGAACGAACUUAUUAUAAUAUAGCACGCCAUUGUUAUUUGUAAAAUUUUAAAGCUUUAAGAUUAUUUUACACUUUCUUUAUCUGCGCUGAUUACCACAAUUUUAUUUCAACUUAAUUGCCGGAACCUAUGCCUACCUAUUUAGUUGAUUAAUAUUAUACAUAAAUAAUAAAUCCUUGAAUUGAAAUUAAAAGUAGGGAAAAUCAAAACAAUUACAUUGGCAACACUUACAAAAUGAAGUCAUCGGUUUCUAUGACAACUAAAUUCACGUAAAAAUUAUUCAUUAUUUUAACAUAAGAAUAUUUAUUUGUGCUACUUACACGUGAAAUGUGAUCCUAUUCAGUUUCUUUUUUCUACCAACGGCAUUUUUACACGAAGGAAUAGCACAAGACGGCUUAAUUUAAUUAAAUUUGUCACCUGUAUAGCACGUCAAACAACACGACAAACACAGACAUCGUCGCUGUCUCAGCGUGCCGCCGACGCGGCGUGCUGCGCGACGUGCUACGCGUGCCUCACCUGCGUGCUGUGUUCCUGCUGCCAGGCUCUAAUGGCAGGCGCCGGCGGUGGUGAAAGUGAAGACGGGGGGCCGCCGACGGACGACGACGUGGGGCCCCCCGCCAACGUCGCGCCCCCCACCUUGCCGCACUGAGAAGAUAAUUAGACUUCUUUUUCAGUUGCGUGCACAAGCUGUUUAACUAGGGUGGGCACUCAUCAUCAUCAUCAUCAUAUCAGCCGAUGGACGUCCACUGCAGGACAUAGACCUUUUGUAGGGACUUCCAAACAUCACGAUACUGAGCCACCUGCAUUUUUUCUACCUAAUUUUCUUUAAACUUGUACGAAUUCCAAAAAAAUCAGCUAAAUCGCUUCAGUAGUAGCGGCGUUAAAAAGUAACAAACAUCCACUACCGGCAAAAGACGUACCGCCAAGCGAUUUAGCGUUCCGGUACUUUGCCGUGUAGAAACCGAAAGGAGUGUGGAUUUUCAUCCUCCUCCUAACAAGUUAGCCCGCUUCCAUCUUAGAUUACAUCAUCAUUUACAAUCAGGUGAGUUGUAGUCAAGGGCUAACUUGUAAGGAAUACAAAAAAAAACGGUACUUUUUGCAGUGAUUUUGUAGGCACGUAACAUAUCUAACAGUAGAAAAUAUCGUUUAUGUCAAGCGGUUUUCGAUAUUUCGUGAUGCUUCCUGUACCUUUUAUAUUUUACUCGUAGAUAGGUUAAAUAUGGGUUUGUAUAUAGAAAAAGAGAACUUUUCAGUAAGCUGGCGUUUAUUUUAGUAAUAAAUGUUUAUUUUUAA